UUGCUAUGAUGAAUAUUUGUGCUCAAUGCGGUGAUUUGGGUCUCCGCAUUUGUCCUUUGGACGAAAACUUGCGCAUCUGAGCUU
Non-coding RNA from Nicotiana sylvestris (wood tobacco), 84 nucleotides. Lineage: Eukaryota; Viridiplantae; Streptophyta; Magnoliopsida; Solanales; Solanaceae. The record is from Rfam.